CAAAGUGCUGGGAUUACAGGUGUGAGCCACUGCACCUAGCUGAGAAAUGGUUUUAUAAUAGUAAUUGGAGACUGCACAGCUGUCAUCAUAGCUACCAUUUGUUAAGCACUUAGUAUAUGCCAAGACUAUCCUAGGCACUUUACGUUUAUAAACUCAUUUCAUUCACAACAGCCCUUGUGGCAGCUUCAAUUAUUAUCCCGAUUUUGCUGAAGAGGAAACUAUGGCAUAGAAAAGUGGCAGAUUCCAUUCAUAUCCUCAUUUUGAGGAAGAGGAAACUAUGGCAUAGAGAAGUUAAAUGACGUGCCCAAGGUUUACAAAGGUGUAAGUGGAAGAUCUUGGAUUAUAAGACUCUUUUGGGAAAUUAGAUUUGAUCCUUAGAGGUUUCCUAGUCUCAUUUCCCAUUGAGGAAGGGAUUCCUUUCUCUGACAAUCCUGGUUCUUUGGACUCUGCAGGAGCAUUGAAGAUGGGAGAUCACUGCUUCAACAGCAAGACACUCUAGUAUGGGCUAUUGUAAUUGCUAGAAAGUUUUUUUUCCUAUGUUGAAGUGAAAUCUCACAACUUUGAUUCACUAGUCUUUGUAAUAACAGAAAAUAAGCCCAUUGUUCUGACUGUUGAGAUAUGUGAAGGUUUUCAUGUCAUUCACCACCAACCCCAACAUCAGUUGGAGACUUCAAUACCAUACUUUCAAUAAAAGAACAUUUAGACAGCAGAAUAAGGAAACAGAAGUCCUGAACAACACUAUAAGUCAAUGAAACCUGACAGAUUUAUGUAGAACACUUAACCCAACCACACCAGAGUCAACAUUCUUCUCAAGUGUACCUGGAACAUUCUUCAGGAUAGACAUAUGUAAGACCACAAAACAAGUUCCAAUAGCUUCUUCCCCACCUCUGGCUGCCGGCAGGACCUUUCUCUUACUGCUGCUGGGACCCUGUGUCAUCACCCAGGCCGAGCACGAUGCCCCCUAAAAAGGGAGGUGAUGGAAUUAAACCACCCCCAAUCAUUGGAAGAUUUGGAACCUCACUGAAAAUUGGUAUUGUUGGAUUGCCAAAUGUUGGGAAAUCUACUUUCUUCAGUGUAUUAACCAGUAGUCAGGCUUCAGCAGAAAACUUCCCAUUCUGCACUAUUGAUUCUAAUGAGAGCAGAGUACCUGUGCCAGAUGAAAGGUUUGACUUUCUUUGCCAAUACCACAAACCAGUGAGCAAAAUUUCUGCCUUUCUAAAUGUAGUGGUUAUUGCUGGCCUUGUGAAAGGAGCUCACAAUGGGCAGGGCCUGGAGAAUGCUUUUUUAUCUCAUAUUCGUGCCUGUGAUGGCAUCUUUCAUCUAACACAUGCUUUUGAAGAUGAUGAUAUCACGCAUGUUGAAGGAAGUGUAGAUCCUAUUCGAAAUAUAGAAAUAAUACAUGAAGAGCUUCAGCUUGAAGAUGAGGAAAUCAAGCUUGAAGAUGAGGAAAUCAGCUUGAAGAUGAGGAAGUCAAGGCUGCUGGAAAGUACAGACAACAGGGCAGAAAUUAUAUUGUUGAAGAUGGAGAUACGGUCUUCUUCAAAUUUAACACACCUCAACAACCGAAGAAGAAAUAAAAUUUAGUUGUUGCUCAGAUAAACAUACAACUUCCAAAAGGCAUCUGAUUUUUUUUAAAUUAAAAUUUCUGAAAACCGAUGGAACAAUUAAAGGUGGGAAGAUGGGAAUCUUCAACAAAUUAUUUUUAUUUGUUUUAAAAUUAAAAUACUGUGUACCUCUCCACCAAUGAAAUGCAAAUUCACUAAAUGUGAACAGCUUUGCUUUUCACAUGAUUAAGACCCUACUCCAAAUUGUAGAAGCUUUUCAGGAACCAUAUUACUGUCAUGAUACUUCAUUAAUCUCCAUCGUGUAUGCCAACCCUGACACAUUUGACAGUGAAGACAAUGCGGCUUACUCCUUUUUGAAUCUAUGGAUAAUGCAUGUUUCACAGUACUCCAGAUGUCUACACUCAGUAAAACAUUUGAAAAAAAAAAGUUCCAAUAAAUGUCAAAAGAUUGAAAUAAUACAAAGUGUCUUCUUUGAUAACAAUGGAAUGAAGCUAGAAAUCAA
Molecule: RNA transcript, 2067 nt
Organism: Cercocebus atys (sooty mangabey)
Lineage: Eukaryota; Metazoa; Chordata; Mammalia; Primates; Cercopithecidae
Gene name: obg-like ATPase 1 pseudogene
Exons: 1
Source: RefSeq, a predicted model, not a curated record